RNAcentral lists this long non-coding RNA (637 nucleotides) under Arabidopsis lyrata. Its description in RNAcentral is "long non-coding RNA (ALYR_LNC003088)". Lineage: Eukaryota; Viridiplantae; Streptophyta; Magnoliopsida; Brassicales; Brassicaceae. The record is from RNAcentral.
GGAGGCCCAUGGACUGAGCUGUCAAUGGCGUAAGUUUCAAUGCCCUCGAUCACAGACCCCUCUACGUCAUGUGAGAGCGGCUCUUCAACUAAUCCAUGAGCGAUCUCAGAUUGGAACCACACGAACCAAUGUACGCUAUUAGCAUUAGCUCACUCUACCAAGUACAUUCUCUGUGGUCGGAUAGCACAGAGCUAAAAAAUUGCAAUACGAAACAGCACCAAAAGACCAUUAGUCUUACUAGCUCCUCCAAAACCUAGAGACAACGAAAUGAAUGACUAAACUCAAUCCAAAGCCAGAGCUCAAGUCACGUAGACAACAACUAGAUAUCCCAACAAAACCCUUAAAAAGGCACAACAAACGAAUUGUGAAUGACCGGAGACAAUUGCAAAUGGAGAAGAAAGCAAGACCACGACCGGCAGCCACUACUUCACCAAGAAACUCCGCUAAAGCUGCUACAAAAGGCAACAUAAUUUGACGAUAACUAAAACCUUACGCCACUGAGAACGUAAUUACCUCGCAAAGCACCUAAAGCUAAAGACGAUCAGCCACACUAUGACGCAGAUUAGUCCUCAAGUCCCUGCUGUCAUAGAGCAACAUCAUGACGACCUCAGAUUUGUUGCCUCGCCAAACCACCAUA